This 314-nucleotide ribosomal RNA is filed under the name uncultured Verrucomicrobiota bacterium. RNAcentral's name for it is "bacterial SSU rRNA". It matches the Rfam family "Bacterial small subunit ribosomal RNA", at positions 29 to 351 of the family's 1533-position model. The record is from RNAcentral. Lineage: Bacteria; Pseudomonadati; Verrucomicrobiota.
AACGAACGCUGGCGGCGUGGAUAAGACAUGCAAGUCGAACGGAGCAUUUUGGUAGCAAUAUCGAAAUGCUUAGUGGCAAACGGGUGCGUAACACGUAGGUUACAUUCCGGAAAGUGUGGGAUAGCCCAGGGAAACUUGGAUUAAUACCGCAUGUGAUCGCAAGAUCAAAGGCGAAAGCCGCUUUCCGAUUGGCCUGCGCCCUAUCAGCUAGUUGGUGAGGUAACGGCUCACCAAGGCUACGACGGGUAGCUGGUCUGAGAGGACGACCAGCCACACUGGAACUGAGACACGGUCCAGACACCUACGGGUGGCAG